ACCUGAGGUCAGGAGAUUGAGACCAUCCUGGCUAACACGGUGAAACCCCCUCUCUACUAAAAAUACAAAAAAUUAGCCGGGCAUGGUGGCACGCGCCUGUAAUCUCAGCUACUUGAGAGGCUGAGGCAGGAGAAUUGCUUGAACUCGGGAGGCGUAGGUUGCGGUGAGCCGAGAUCGCGCCACUGCACUCCAGCCUGGGCGACAGGUGAUUUUAAAUAUAAUCCAAAAUUAUAUUUAAAGGAAAAUAGCUUCUAGACAUGUAUGUGACCUGCCCUUUGUAUGUCCAAAGUAUUAUUGAAAAACAGUGGAAGGAUACCUCGUGGUUGUGUUAAACCAGUCUAAAUUUGGUUAGAAGUUAUAAGAGACUCAGUUGAAUUCAUGCUAGUAUGUGUUGUCUUAAACCUGAGUGCACAGCAGUUCUGGCAGAACCAACAAAAAUACUGCCCAUGAAACAACUAAAAUGGAUUUUUAAAAAAGCUGUUAUCUAAGAGUUACCUCCACCAAUACUUAAUGCAUUCAAAAUUAAAACUAACAGGAGCUAACCUUUCCCUUUCUGACAGUUUUAGAAAAUAAGCCAUUCUAAAACUUACAGAAGAUUAUCAUUUCCCUCUUGGAUUUAGAAAGUAAAAAAGCAAAAUCAGGUAAACAGAUGUUUUUGAAAUGGACUAGGGUUUAGUGACCCGAAACUCAGUUGAAUUUUUCUCGUAAUUGUUGACAGUGUGAAUGGUAAACAGACAAUUGCUAACGUUUUAUUUCCUUUUUAUAUGUGUGUUGUACUUUCAUGUCCUGUCAUAUUGAAGCAAUCCUGAAAGUAUUAACUGUUUCUUACCUUGUAUCUCUCAGUGAUACUCAACUCCCAGCUGCUCAUUUGAGCCACCUGGAGAGUUGGGACAAUGGCCAUCCUCCAUUUCCACCAGAGAGCACUCUUCAAGCACUUUUAAUGUACAGCCAAGGGGUAGAUCUGCCACCCGCAUUAUUUUGCUUGGAGAGUCAUUGGCAUCUCAAGACUUCUGGGUUAUUUUCAUUGCAGGUUUGGUUGAACACAUGACAUGAUUCAGCGCAGUCAUGAGUUCACAUGACUCACACAUUAAGUGAUUUCAUGGGUUAAAGUGAUCCCAGCCAGCAAAUGCUAAUAACAGCCAUUUAUUAUUCCUUGGAUCUUCCUACUCUUUUCUUUAACAUUUGUCUUUGGCCAUUGCCUCCUUUCUGUUAACUUUUUCAUGCUUAUUAAAGUA
This 1235-nucleotide long non-coding RNA is filed under the name Rhinopithecus bieti (black snub-nosed monkey). RNAcentral describes it as "lncRNA (ENSRBIG00000046348.1)". The record is from RNAcentral. Lineage: Eukaryota; Metazoa; Chordata; Mammalia; Primates; Cercopithecidae.